Lutra lutra (Eurasian river otter) is the source of this 136-nucleotide long non-coding RNA. RefSeq lists it as uncharacterized. The record is from RefSeq and is a predicted model, not a curated record. NCBI's taxonomy places the organism in Eukaryota, Metazoa, Chordata, Mammalia, Carnivora, Mustelidae. The transcript has 3 exons.
UAUAUAUAGAUGUUUAUCAUGUCAUCUGCAAAUAAUGAAAGUUUUACUUCUUCCUGACCAAUUUGAAUAGCUUUUAUUUCUUUUUGUCUGAUUGCUGUAGUUAGGACUUCCACUACUGUGUUGUGGAAAGGGAUGA